CCCUUACCCGCUGAACUUAAGCAUAUCAAUAAGCGGAGGAAAAGAAACUAACAAGGAUUCCCCUAGUAACGGCGAGUGAAGCGGGAAGAGCUCAAAUUUGAAAUCUAUCUGGUCUCCAGGUCGAAUUGUAGUUUAUAAAAGUGUUUUCGGGGGCAGACUAGGAUCAAGUCGUUUGGGAUAACGCAGCAGAGAGGGUGAGACUCCCGUUGCUUCUAGUCUUGCUUCUAUGUGAUACAUCCUUGACGAGUCGGGUUGUUUGGGAAUGCAGCCCAAAAUGGGUGGUAAAUACCAUCUAAAGCUAAAUACUGGCGAGAGACCGAUAGCGAACAAGUACCGUGAGGGAAAGAUGAAAAGAACUUUGAAAAGAGAGUUAAAAGUACGUGAAAUUGUCAAAAGGGAAACACUUGAAACCAGUCUUGCUGACGGAAUCCCAACCGGACCGACGUCUGGUAUACGCUUCUGUCGGCAGGUCAGCACCGGUUUGAACUAGUGUAGAAAGCCUGUGGAAGGUAGCUCGCAAGAGUGUUAUAGCCAUAGGUCCUGCUCUGGUUUAGACCGAGGAAUGCAGUCUAGUCUUGGGGAACCUGCCGCCGGGUGAUGAUUGGUCGCUAACAACCUCGUUGAUUUCUACUAAUAUAAGCCUGCACGGUGGGUGUACCACACCUAUGCUUUGGAUGCUGACAUAAUGGUUUUAAAUGACCCGUCUUGAAACACGGACCAAGGAGUCUAACACAUGUGCGAGUUUUUGGGUGAUAAACCCGGAAAGCGUAAUGAAAGUAUUAAGGUGAGACCCCGAAAGGGUGCACCAUCGACCGGUCUAGAAGUUUACGGAUAGAUCUGAGUAGGAGCAUAUUUGUUAGGACCCGAAAGAUGGUGAACUAUGCGUGAGUAGGGUGAAGCCAGAGGAAACUCUGGUGGAGGCUCGUAGGGAUUCUGACGUGCAAAUCGAUCUUAAAACUUGCGUAUAGGGGCGAAAGACUAAUCGAACUAUCUAAUGGCUGGUUCCCUCCGAAGUUUCCCUCAGGAAAGGG
This 1031-nucleotide ribosomal RNA is filed under the name uncultured Chytridiomycota. Its description in RNAcentral is "eukaryotic LSU rRNA". It matches the Rfam family "Eukaryotic large subunit ribosomal RNA", at positions 21 to 983 of the family's 3401-position model. The record is from RNAcentral. Lineage: Eukaryota; Fungi; Chytridiomycota.